RNAcentral lists this ribosomal RNA (2902 nucleotides) under Shigella dysenteriae 1012. RNAcentral's name for it is "bacterial LSU rRNA". It matches the Rfam family "Bacterial large subunit ribosomal RNA". The record is from RNAcentral. Lineage: Bacteria; Pseudomonadati; Pseudomonadota; Gammaproteobacteria; Enterobacterales; Enterobacteriaceae.
GGUUAAGCGACUAAGCGUACACGGUGGAUGCCCUGGCAGUCAGAGGCGAUGAAGGACGUGCUAAUCUGCGAUAAGCGUCGGUAAGGUGAUAUGAACCGUUAUAACCGGCGAUUUCCGAAUGGGGAAACCCAGUGUGUUUCGACACACUAUCAUUAACUGAAUCCAUAGGUUAAUGAGGCGAACCGGGGGAACUGAAACAUCUAAGUACCCCGAGGAAAAGAAAUCAACCGAGAUUCCCCCAGUAGCGGCGAGCGAACGGGGAGCAGCCCAGAGCCUGAAUCAGUGUGUGUGUUAGUGGAAGCGUCUGGAAAGGCGCGCGAUACAGGGUGACAGCCCCGUACACAAAAAUGCACAUGCUGUGAGCUCGAUGAGUAGGGCGGGACACGUGGUAUCCUGUCUGAAUAUGGGGGGACCAUCCUCCAAGGCUAAAUACUCCUGACUGACCGAUAGUGAACCAGUACCGUGAGGGAAAGGCGAAAAGAACCCCGGCGAGGGGAGUGAAAAAGAACCUGAAACCGUGUACGUACAAGCAGUGGGAGCCUCUUUAUGGGGUGACUGCGUACCUUUUGUAUAAUGGGUCAGCGACUUAUAUUCUGUAGCAAGGUUAACCGAAUAGGGGAGCCGAAGGGAAACCGAGUCUUAACUGGGCGUUAAGUUGCAGGGUAUAGACCCGAAACCCGGUGAUCUAGCCAUGGGCAGGUUGAAGGUUGGGUAACACUAACUGGAGGACCGAACCGACUAAUGUUGAAAAAUUAGCGGAUGACUUGUGGCUGGGGGUGAAAGGCCAAUCAAACCGGGAGAUAGCUGGUUCUCCCCGAAAGCUAUUUAGGUAGCGCCUCGUGAAUUCAUCUCCGGGGGUAGAGCACUGUUUCGGCAAGGGGGUCAUCCCGACUUACCAACCCGAUGCAAACUGCGAAUACCGGAGAAUGUUAUCACGGGAGACACACGGCGGGUGCUAACGUCCGUCGUGAAGAGGGAAACAACCCAGACCGCCAGCUAAGGUCCCAAAGUCAUGGUUAAGUGGGAAACGAUGUGGGAAGGCCCAGACAGCCAGGAUGUUGGCUUAGAAGCAGCCAUCAUUUAAAGAAAGCGUAAUAGCUCACUGGUCGAGUCGGCCUGCGCGGAAGAUGUAACGGGGCUAAACCAUGCACCGAAGCUGCGGCAGCGACGCUUAUGCGUUGUUGGGUAGGGGAGCGUUCUGUAAGCCUGUGAAGGUGUGCUGUGAGGCAUGCUGGAGGUAUCAGAAGUGCGAAUGCUGACAUAAGUAACGAUAAAGCGGGUGAAAAGCCCGCUCGCCGGAAGACCAAGGGUUCCUGUCCAACGUUAAUCGGGGCAGGGUGAGUCGACCCCUAAGGCGAGGCCGAAAGGCGUAGUCGAUGGGAAACAGGUUAAUAUUCCUGUACUUGGUGUUACUGCGAAGGGGGGACGGAGAAGGCUAUGUUGGCCGGGCGACGGUUGUCCCGGUUUAAGCGUGUAGGCUGAUUUUCCAGGCAAAUCCGGAAAAUCAAGGCUGAGGCGUGAUGACGAGGCACUACGGUGCUGAAGCAACAAAUGCCCUGCUUCCAGGAAAAGCCUCUAAGCAUCAGGUAACAUCAAAUCGUACCCCAAACCGACACAGGUGGUCAGGUAGAGAAUACCAAGGCGCUUGAGAGAACUCGGGUGAAGGAACUAGGCAAAAUGGUGCCGUAACUUCGGGAGAAGGCACGCUGAUAUGUAGGUGAAGUCCCUCGCGGAUGGAGCUGAAAUCAGUCGAAGAUACCAGCUGGCUGCAACUGUUUAUUAAAAACACAGCACUGUGCAAACACGAAAGUGGACGUAUACGGUGUGACGCCUGCCCGGUGCCGGAAGGUUAAUUGAUGGGGUCAGCGCAAGCGAAGCUCUUGAUCGAAGCCCCGGUAAACGGCGGCCGUAACUAUAACGGUCCUAAGGUAGCGAAAUUCCUUGUCGGGUAAGUUCCGACCUGCACGAAUGGCGUAAUGAUGGCCAGGCUGUCUCCACCCGAGACUCAGUGAAAUUGAACUCGCUGUGAAGAUGCAGUGUACCCGCGGCAAGACGGAAAGACCCCGUGAACCUUUACUAUAGCUUGACACUGAACAUUGAGCCUUGAUGUGUAGGAUAGGUGGGAGGCUUAGAAGUGUGGACGCCAGUCUGCAUGGAGCCGGCCUUGAAAUACCACCCUUUAAUGUUUGAUGUUCUAACGUGGACCCGUAAUCCGGGUUGCGGACAGUGUCUGGUGGGUAGUUUGACUGGGGCGGUCUCCUCCUAAAGAGUAACGGAGGAGCACGAAGGUUGGCUAAUCCUGGUCGGACAUCAGGAGGUUAGUGCAAUGGCAUAAGCCAGCUUGACUGCGAGCGUGACGGCGCGAGCAGGUGCGAAAGCAGGUCAUAGUGAUCCGGUGGUUCUGAAUGGAAGGGCCAUCGCUCAACGGAUAAAAGGUACUCCGGGGAUAACAGCUGAUACCGCCCAAGAGUUCAUAUCGACGGCGGUGUUUGGCACCUCGAUGUCGGCUCAUCACAUCCUGGGGCUGAAGUAGGUCCCAAGGGUAUGGCUGUUCGCCAUUUAAAGUGGUACGCGAGCUGGGUUUAGAACGUCGUGAGACAGUUCGGUCCCUAUCUGCCGUGGGCGCUGGAGAACUGAGGGGGGCUGCUCCUAGUACGAGAGGACCGGAGUGGACGCAUCACUGGUGUUCGGGUUGUCAUGCCAAUGGCACUGCCCGGUAGCUAAAUGCGGAAGAGAUAAGUGCUGAAAGCAUCUAAGCACGAAACUUGCCCCGAGAUGAGUUCUCCCUGACUCCUUGAGAGUCCUGAAGGAACGUUGAAGACGACGACGUUGAUAGGCCGGGUGUGUAAGCGCAGCGAUGCGUUGAGCUAACCGGUACUAAUGAACCGUGAGGCUUAACCUU